AUGUCUAAAUUGCAAGAAAAUAAUUCCACUGAGGAACCCAACAGCACAACUUCAUCCAAGGAUUCAACUCCUGAAGCUGUUGCAACAUCGUCUGGAGAUAUUUCCAUUGAAGUUUCACAAGAUGAAAGUAGUUCAUCAGACACUUGCUCUAAAAAUCCAAAAUCGGAUGAUGCCUCAGGUAAAUGCACCCCAGCAUCCAGUGACAAAUCAACAACUGAGAGCAAAUCUGAUGAGAGAGAAGAAGAUACAUCUUCACCCUCAGGUUCAGAAUGUACCAUUAGACAGCGGUACCAUUUAGGGUCACCUCUCCGCAUGGAACUGUGACCUCUGGUGAACCAUCAAAUCCUUGGGGCAAAUCUCCAGGUAUAUAAUCCCUUACAAUGGUUUAUCUAUGAAUUAAAUGCUCUAUUAUCAAUACUUUUAUCACUAAAAUUAGUUAAUUUAUGAUACAUAAUUGCAUCUCAAUUUUUUUUAAUAAUAGUUCUGAAAUUUUAGAAAUUUAAUAUUGUCAGAAUAAUUAUUAAUCAGCUUCAAGUUUUAGUUAUAGA
RNAcentral lists this long non-coding RNA (548 nucleotides) under Bemisia tabaci. RNAcentral's name for it is "lncRNA ENSSWEETPG006787". The record is from RNAcentral. Lineage: Eukaryota; Metazoa; Arthropoda; Insecta; Hemiptera; Aleyrodidae.